AUAAAAGCGUUGAACUAUUAAAGUAACUAAUACUUACAUUGAAAUCAGAGACCUGUUGGGGCUGCAAAACAGGCAAGGGGUAUGGUGAAAUUACAGAUAGGGAGCUGAUAUCCGGUUUCGGCCGUUAUCUAAACAAGCGAGCAGAUGAUCAAUCUGUUAACUAGGGUGGUACCGCGGAGCUUCCGUCCCUUUU
This 193-nucleotide non-coding RNA is filed under the name Neobacillus bataviensis. RNAcentral describes it as "Bacillus bataviensis T-box sequence". It matches the Rfam family "T-box leader". Rfam says of the family: Uncharged tRNA acts as the effector for transcription antitermination of genes in the T-box leader family. The record is from RNAcentral. Lineage: Bacteria; Bacillati; Bacillota; Bacilli; Caryophanales; Bacillaceae.